AGGAGAUAAUCGAGGGGGUGUAUUGAGAACUGAGGGUCGGGUGGUGGGGCAGGUGACUGGGGGAAGCUUUGGUGGGACAGAGGAUCCGAUUGGGAAGAGGGGCAGUGUGGGAUCAGAGGUCAGAACGCCUGUUGAGUGAUGGUGUUUGUGUACUGAGACCUGUGAGACCUGGGAACAGAGUUACUCCAAGUGCAGAGAUGGAGACGGCUGAGCUGUCAGUGCACGAAGGGCCGCAGGGCUGUGCUGACCCACACACCACAAUGACUGCACAGCAAUGGACUCACAGCUCACAGAGAGGCGGGUGGGAGGAGGUCAAGGCAGCACAGACACACACAGCCCUUCAUCACUGCGGGCUGCAUCCCCUCAGCCCCCCCCCGUGCGGCGGCUGCCCGCGCCUCGCGCUCUCCCUCAGGCACAAAAUGGCGGCGCCGCUCAGCGCCGUGUUCCCGCGCGGCCUCAGCGGGGUAGGAACCUUUGAUGCGCGGAACUCGCGGGCGCGGGGGGCGGUUUCCGGCCCGGCCCGGCCCGCCGCCAUGGCCGAGGGCUCGGCGGAGCUGGAGCUGUUCCGCCGGCGAUGGCGGGAGGAGCUGGCGGCGGGCGGCAAGAGGAGGCGGCGGGAGGAGGCGGAGGAGCCCGACGGGUCGGUACGGGACGGGUCGGGCUGCAUAGAGCUGGCCUGCGGCCUGCUGGACAGAGAGAGCCCGGCCCCGAGCAGCCCUGCUGCCGCCCGGCACUGCGAGGAGACCGCGGGGGAUGAGGCCGACGACCUGCUGGGACAGCUUAUCCGCGACCUGAAUGAAAUCAAUGAGAUUCCUUUCUUUGAUGUCCAUCUGCCCUAUGAACUGGCAUUGAAGAUAUUUCAGUAUCUGGGAAAGGCUGAACUGGGGAAGUGUGCUCAGGUCAGCAGAACAUGGAAAGUGCUCGCAGAAGAUGAAGUGCUGUGGUACCGGCUGUGCCAACAGGAAGGAUACCUGUUGGAUGUGAGCAUCUCUGAUCGGCCCUGCUGGAAGCUCGCCCUGAAGGACUGCCGUGCCAAAGAGCGUGCUUUGCGAACCAACUGGAAGAACCGCAGUGGUGCUGUGAGUCAGCUGCAAUACGAGCUGGGAAAAAUCCUAUGUGAUGUACAUUCUUGUGAUGGAGUUGUUAUUGCUGGAUACACAUCGGGGGAAGUGAGGUUGUGGGACACGCGCACCUGGGACUACACAGCCCCCAUCCUGGAGCCAGUGCACGGUCCUGGUGAUGCUGGACCUCAGCCACAUGUCUCCUUUGUGAGGAUAAACAGCUCUCUGGCUGUAGCAGCUUAUGAGGACGGUACUGUGAGUGUUUGGAGCCUCAUGAUAGGGCGCGAGCCGAUCCAUCGCUACCAGCAUAACCAGAGGAUACAGGCUUUAGCUCUGGGCUCCAAGGGUGCAACAGUAGCAACAGCAUCUGGCUUUGAGGUCAAGGUGGAAAGCCCUGAUGACAGGGGGUUCUGGCAAACUACAGGAACAUUUGAAAUCCAGAAAUUGGUAAACUUCCUUCAUCUGGUUCCAGAUGUUUGGGACAAUCCAGUGGCAGUAGCAGCUGCAGAAGAUGUUGUCUAUGUCCUGAAAGGAGAAGACCCUGGGACAGUCCUCCAUUCUGUCUAUGGUCAGCCUGUCACGUGUCUUGACGUCUCUGCUCAUGAAGCAGCCUUUGGGGUCAAAAGCUUUGGCUGGAUACUGAACGAGCCCAACCAGGUUCUUCUUUACAACCUGGAAACAAGUCAGUGUCUAAAGAAGCUAGGCAACUCCAUGGGUGACUUUACAUGCGUCAACCUCCAGCACAGUCCUCCAAACAUGCUCGUUACAGGCAAUAAAGACAGAAGGCAACUACUGCUCAAGCACUGGAACAGGAGAGUCACAGCCUUUCACAAGAGCACCUUCCUUACAGCUCCCUUCAACUGGGAUGAAUCCGAUGUGCUCCCACUGAGCCCAGCUGUUGAGGCAGGAGAUGGAGGGCAGUGCCAGGGUCAGAGUGUACGACCUCCGCAGAAGCACAGCACUGUGCUCCCUCUACGCCCACCGACUGGGGGUGUCUGCAGUGCAGAUGGAUGACUGGAAGAUCGUCAGUGGGGGAGAAGAUGGGUUGGUGUGUGUGUGGGACCAGCGGAUGGGCACCAAGCUCUGGGAGAUGCACGCCAGGCAUCCAGUGCGCUACGUGUGGUUUAAUUCUCACAGCCUCAUCACUGCCAACAUCCCUGAUGAGAAAACUCCCCGCGGUGCCAGCAUCAUGGACGACGACCUCACUGCACACCGCAGGCAUCGAGGAAUCAUUUAUGCCUACGAGUUCUCUGUGGACCAGCUGGCUGUAGAGAGCGUCCUCCCCAUCUGCCGUUCUUCCUACGAUGAGGUGAUGGGUUACAACUACAACAUCGGCCUCGCGGUGCCCUAUGAUCACAUCUAGGUAACUCACCUGCCUCAGCACUCUGCCACAUGAGAGGCCGAAGGCAAAAGGGCAAUUCAUUGGGGCAGAGCACCAGCAGGACUUGCUGGCUGCAGGUGCAUGGGGAGUGCUGAGCUUCAGCUGAAAACAUGGGGCUGUGAACCACAGCAGAGCAGGGCUGCCCUCCAGCUUAGUGCUAGAACAUAGAUCCAGAGAUCCUCUGUGGAGGAACAGGGAGACUGAAGGAUGAGGGUGAGCCGUGUGCUCCGAUCGAACAGAAGUGUUCUGUCCUGCUGCCUGUGGGAGGAACGCUGCAGAUCCCAUCUUGGCAGAUGGGCUGGGCUGCUUGGGAAGUGACAAAGUACUGAUUUGGGGGAGAGCAGCAGGGAGGGCACGGCCUGCAGGUGCCCCAACGUGCAGGGAGAAAAGUGGGAUCACCCUGCUGAGCCCAUGGAUCUGACACUGCUUGUCUUAUAAUGAGCUGCUCGCUGUUCUGUGAGCGCAUCAGGACAUGUGUAGAAGCAGCCAUGAGCACUGAAGAUGAUGGGAUUUGGGAGAGGGGAGGCUGAUGAAGAAGUGACGGUUGGCCCAGUCCAGCCUGGAUGACUGGAAACCCACAGCAAGUCACACAUCAAAAUGGUUUUAAAAUGAAUUAUUUUUUUAAUUCUCUACAAUUGUAGAUUAAAUGUUUUCUGACUCUGUA
Molecule: RNA transcript, 3106 nt
Organism: Coturnix japonica (Japanese quail)
Lineage: Eukaryota; Metazoa; Chordata; Aves; Galliformes; Phasianidae
Gene: FBXW8
Gene name: F-box and WD repeat domain containing 8
Source: RefSeq, a predicted model, not a curated record